Leopardus geoffroyi (Geoffroy's cat) is the source of this 120-nucleotide long non-coding RNA. RefSeq lists it as uncharacterized. The record is from RefSeq and is a predicted model, not a curated record. The transcript is spliced from 3 exons. Lineage: Eukaryota; Metazoa; Chordata; Mammalia; Carnivora; Felidae.
GCUAUAAACACUGCAGGUGCAGGUAUCCCUCUGAAUUAACAUUUUCGUAUUCUUUGGGUAAAUACCCAGUAGUGCAAUUGCUGAAUUAUAGAGUUAAUUCUAUUUUUAAUUUCUUAAGAA